This 107-nucleotide transfer RNA is filed under the name Tuber borchii (whitish truffle). It matches the Rfam family "tRNA". From Rfam's summary of the family: Transfer RNA (tRNA) molecules are approximately 80 nucleotides in length. Their secondary structure includes four short double-helical elements and three loops (D, anti-codon, and T loops). Lineage: Eukaryota; Fungi; Ascomycota; Pezizomycetes; Pezizales; Tuberaceae. The record is from Rfam by way of RNAcentral.
GUCUUCAUGGCUUAGUUGGUUAAAGCGUCGGUCUCAUAUCCUCUAGAUGUGACCCACUUCAAAAGUGGGAUAUCCGAAGGUCGCGAGUUCGACUCUCGCUGAGGACA